This is a long non-coding RNA of Magnolia sinica, 1089 nucleotides long. RefSeq lists it as uncharacterized. The transcript has 2 exons. The record is from RefSeq and is a predicted model, not a curated record. NCBI's taxonomy places the organism in Eukaryota, Viridiplantae, Streptophyta, Magnoliopsida, Magnoliales, Magnoliaceae.
GAUUCUGAUAGUAAUCGUAAUGGGAGUAGCACUAAGAAACAACAGCGACCGCCUCGUCCUUGUGAUGUACUUGACAUCUCUCUUAAUAUUGUAGCAGAUGCAAUUCGUGAUUUCGGCCUUGGAAAAGAGGUCAAUCAAACAAGUAAAGUCUUGGAUUUGCUAGAGGAGGUGUAAGGGCUGACCAACAUCGAGUUCAUUGGGGUUGGCCAGCUCUCAAGUUGGGACAAGCAACUUGCUUCUUUCUUUGUGAGUCUACGACUUGAGCGCCAUGUAGAUUGGCUUAAGAAAACAAUAUCUGAUAAGUUUGCAUCUGGUGGUGGUGGUUUUGUUUGAUGGGGAUCUGUUUGAUAUGGUUUUUUUUUAUUUAUUUUGGACUUAUAAUAACUUUUUUUAGUAUUUUGGACAUGUUACGUUUGGCAAACACUACGGAUUAAACUGUUUAAGUUAGAUAUGUUGUGGAAUUUGAACUCUGUUAUUAUAAAUUCGUAGAUUGGUUAUAAUUGUAUGCCCAGAUUGGUCGGGAUGAUGAAUUUGGAUAUUGCCGAAGGACAUCAUGGUUAGUUGAUAAAUUUGAUGUUCGGCUACUAUCCAAAUCUUCAAGGAUGGGGAAAGAGAAUUAUUACGUUCUACUCGUUGGUUGCAGACCAGACAUUUAUGUAUCUUGGGAGGAGGCCAGAUUAGAGGUAGAAGGCUACAACAGGAGUAGACAUCGAGCUUUCAAAAACGUGAAAGAAGCGUCUACCUAUUGGGAAAGUCACUAUGGCAAUUCAAUUGCCCAACCAGCUGUAAGAUGAACCACAUAUGAUGGAUGUGUAUCAAGCUCUUCUGAUCAUCUCGACACAAGGAGGAUAUCUUGGUCGUCAACCAAAUAGACGUCACAGGCCAUGGUAUCUCAGGCUACUUCGACGGAUGAGACUGAGAUAUCCUUUGGCGAGGGAGUGGCUGCAUUUAUUACGGGCAUCGUGGUUAUGUUCUUUGUCCUGUAUAUUAUUAUUAGACUGUAAUGUAUUUUCUGAUGUAUGUCUGUAUUAAUCCUUGCAAACUCUACUAACACUUAUUCCAGGAUCUCCAUUACAUGAUGCUUCAUGU